AACGAACGCUGGCGGCAUGCCUAACACAUGCAAGUCGAACGAGACCUUCGGGUCUAGUGGCGCACGGGUGCGUAACGCGUGGGAACCUGCCCUUAGGUUCGGAAUAACUCCCCGAAAGGGGUGCUAAUACCGGAUAAUGUCUUCGGACCAAAGAUUUAUCGCCUUUGGAUGAGCCCGCGUUGGAUUAGCUAGUUGGUAGGGUAAAAGCCUACCAAGGCGACGAUCCAUAGCUGGUCUGAGAGGAUGAUCAGCCACACUGGGACUGAGACACGGCCCAGACUCCUACGGGAGGCAGCAGUGGGGAAUAUUGGACAAUGGGCGAAAGCCUGAUCCAGCAAUGCCGCGUGAGUGAUGAAGGCCUUAGGGUUGUAAAGCUCCUUUACCCGGGAUGAUAAUGACAGUACCGGGAGAAUAAGCUCCGGCUAACUCCGUG
RNAcentral lists this ribosomal RNA (433 nucleotides) under uncultured bacterium. RNAcentral's name for it is "partial 16S ribosomal RNA". It matches the Rfam family "Bacterial small subunit ribosomal RNA", at positions 29 to 507 of the family's 1533-position model. The record is from RNAcentral.